This 641-nucleotide ribosomal RNA is filed under the name Streptococcus anginosus. Its description in RNAcentral is "bacterial SSU rRNA". It matches the Rfam family "Bacterial small subunit ribosomal RNA", at positions 69 to 695 of the family's 1533-position model. The record is from RNAcentral. Lineage: Bacteria; Bacillati; Bacillota; Bacilli; Lactobacillales; Streptococcaceae.
ACCGUAGCUUGCUACACCAUAGACUGUGAGUUGCGAACGGGUGAGUAACGCGUAGGUAACCUGCCUAUUAGAGGGGGAUAACUAUUGGAAACGAUAGCUAAUACCGCAUAACAGUAUGUAACACAUGUUAGAUGCUUGAAAGAUGCAAUUGCAUCGCUAGUAGAUGGACCUGCGUUGUAUUAGCUAGUAGGUAGGGUAAAGGCCUACCUAGGCAACGAUACAUAGCCGACCUGAGAGGGUGAUCGGCCACACUGGGACUGAGACACGGCCCAGACUCCUACGGGAGGCAGCAGUAGGGAAUCUUCGGCAAUGGGGGGAACCCUGACCGAGCAACGCCGCGUGAGUGAAGAAGGUUUUCGGAUCGUAAAGCUCUGUUGUUAAGGAAGAACGAGUGUGAGAAUGGAAAGUUCAUGCUGUGACGGUACUUAACCAGAAAGGGACGGCUAACUACGUGCCAGCAGCCGCGGUAAUACGUAGGUCCCGAGCGUUGUCCGGAUUUAUUGGGCGUAAAGCGAGCGCAGGCGGUUAGAAAAGUCUGAAGUGAAAGGCAGUGGCUCAACCAUUGUAGGCUUUGGAAACUGUUUAACUUGAGUGCAGAAGGGGAGAGUGGAAUUCCAUGUGUAGCGGUGAAAUGCGUAGAU